GGAUGUGAGGGCAAUCUGGCUGCAGCAUCUGUCACCCCAUUGAUCGCCAGGGCUGAUUUGGCUGAUCUGGCUGGCUAGGCGGGUGUCCCCUUCCUCCCUCACCGCUCCAUGUGCGUCCCUCCCAAAGCUGUGCGCUUGGUCAAAGAGGACAGCCUUCCCUGAAUAGAGACGGACCGUCUUCCCGUCAAGGGUAUACGAGUAGCUGCGCUCCCCUGCUAGAACCUCCAAACAAGCUGUCAAGGUUCAUGGGGAGAUGAGAGGUCAUGCUUAUGUGCUAGUAACUGUACUGUAAACCAUUA
Molecule: unclassified non-coding RNA, 299 nt
Organism: Erinaceus europaeus (western European hedgehog)
Lineage: Eukaryota; Metazoa; Chordata; Mammalia; Eulipotyphla; Erinaceidae
Gene: 7SK
Rfam family: 7SK RNA
About the family: 7SK was discovered as an abundant small nuclear RNA in the mid-70s but a possible function has only recently been suggested. Two independent studies have found that 7SK RNA binds the CDK9/cyclin T complex (known as elongation factor P-TEFb).
Source: Ensembl